Non-coding RNA from Taeniopygia guttata (zebra finch), 16086 nucleotides. The record is from RefSeq and is a predicted model, not a curated record. Lineage: Eukaryota; Metazoa; Chordata; Aves; Passeriformes; Estrildidae.
UCCCUCUCCCUCUCCCUCUCCCUCUCCCUCUCCCUCUCCCUCUCCCUCUCCCUCUCCCUCUCUCUUUCCCUUCCUUGUUUUUUUCCCCCUCUUCAUUCCUUUCCCUUUUUCUUUCAAACCAGCCAACAAAACUGCCUAACAGAUUUUAAUUUUUUUAGUUCUGUUCUGAGAUAAACUUUCUACACAAGAUAGUACCAAUCAGAAGCCCAGUAGCCCAGUGCUCUUGAGCGGCUCACAAACCACCUCUGCAGUAUCAGUGCUACUUGAUCUGACUGCAUCGGUAGCAGAGUGUCCAGUUUCACCGGCUUGACAAUGGUGGCAGGAGAAGGAGUGAAAAUUGACAGCAAGUUGACAGAAUGCUAUUGGGACUAUUCCUCUAGGGUCCAUCUCAGAGUAAUUUUAUCCCUAUGCCACUGAACAAACUCACGAAAAAUCCAACAAGUAUGCCACCAGAGUAGCUGUCAUAGGGAACUGAUUUAACAGCAGUGUGUGUUUUUAGGUGUUUGUUAUGAUCGAAGUUUUCUUUUCAGCCCUGGGGUUAUCCUUAUAUACAGAUGGAGACAUAAAAGAAGAUGGGUGAAAACAAAAUCAGAUGGAAAGAGGAAAAUAUUUAUUUCCUUCAUGUAUUUGCAUUGUGCUGAGUGCAGCAGGGUGCUAAGAUGGACUCCUCAGAUGCUAUCACUGUAACUGCAAUAUCAUGUAGCUCUAUGUCCCAUCAAGCUCCUCUGCCAAACUCUAUAAUGUGAUCACUUAGUUGGCUGUGUACAAUCUAUACAAUUUAAAAGGAAAAUGAUUUUUCUUUUAGAUACUGAGCUAAUUUUGUGUUCCUGUUGGUAUUCAAAAUUCAUUGCAAUGAGGAGUCGUUUUAUUGUUGUGGCUCCUUUGUUGUGUUUUGGCUUCUGCUGUCUUAAUAAAAACAAUGAAACAAAUGGUUCUGAGAACAGCAGAGCUAAUGAAGUCAUGUUUUGAGGACUUGCAUUUGACAGUUUUAUAUCCCUUCCUUUGUCCCAUUACAGCAGCUUUGACCAUUUAAACUGAGGUUUAUGCCCAACUCCAUUAGACUUGCCCCUCUCCAGUCUGCACAGAUGCCUUUCAAGCCUGCAGGUAUCAGCUGUGCAGAGGACAUUAUGCGCUCUCCGUGGCUCAGAGCUGCUUUUGCACUGACAUGCCAGCAGAAUACUUGCUGACUGGGUAGCAAGAGGUCAAUCAAAAAAGGUAACUGCUGAGCUGUCACUGAUGUUUUAUUCCUAGUGGGACAGCAAUCUGGCUCUGUGUCCUGUCUCUAGACAUCAAUUUAAAUGAAACUUGUGAGACUUCUCUUUAAGGCUUUGACCUCAUUCUUAUCUUUUUCUGAAUUUGGCCAGGGGUUUUGGAGGUUAUGAGCAUUACAAGGACAGACAGACAAUAUAUCUCAGGUAGAUCAAUAAUACAAUAUUUAUAAGGGCUAAUUUAAAAUAAAAAGUUAAAUUUCCAAACCAAAUUGUCUCUCAUAAACAAAAUAGCUGUAACAUUAUUGUGGUUUGUAUUACUAAUUCCUACAAGGACUUUGAAUAUUUCACUAGGAAAGAUUUUUGAUAAAAUAUGAGUGAGAGAAAAACACAUUAUUUAAAGGCAUCAUAACAAAAUAUGCUAGUUAGGAGUCCAUCUAGGCUGAGAAAAGAACAUUUGAAUUAUGGCAUUGACACUGAAAUGCUUUUUUUGUUUUGAAUUUUCAUCUGGCUCAGAACUUUGCACUCUUGUUGUGUGAUUUUGACUAUCUGUUAGAGCAUUCAAGCUGAAUCAUAAAUAGCAGUAUCGAAAACAUAUGCCACAGGGGAAAGAAAUAUGUAAUAAAACCAGCUGUCAUUAUAUGAUAAUGAAUUUCACUCACUACUGAGUUGGAUAAGUGUUUUUCAUAGGGAAACAAGUGGCAAAUUCAGCAAAGAAAAAUGUGUGUAAAACUUUCAUGUUUUUAAGCCAGCCCUAGAAGGUCUAAUUCACUUUUAUCAGUGGGAAAAAUAAUAUGGGACUAAUUUUGAAGCUGAAAACAUCUAGUUUAUUAAAUUGUGAGUAAGAGAAACAUGGUAAUGGUUUUCACAUAUGUAGGAGAGAAAUAGUUUUAAAGCACUAGUUUUAGGGUACAUAGUCAUGAGAAAGAAGAAAUAAAUCACGCAAAAAAAUAAAUCAAGUGUUUAAACACUCCUAAAAGUUAGAAUUUAUUAGACAGAGAAGUAACUUGAAAAAUGUCAGUAAAGAUUUCAUUAUCUUGGAGAACUGGAAAAGUUUGGCUGCAUUAUCAAAUUUAUGUAAUGAGAAAUAUUCUAACUUUAGAGUGGGAAACUUAGAUUGCGUCAUUGUUCAUUCACGGUUUUAAUUUCUAUUAUUCUAUGACUGAAUCUCAUGUUGAGGUGCCUUUCCUCUCCUGGAGCUAGCUAGCAGAUAAAAUAAGCAUGCAUAUAAUAGCAAAUAAGCGGUCAGGUUAGCUUUUGCAUAGAAUGGCCGCAGAGUAUUUUUGCUAUUAGGACAACGGUCUGUAAAUUUCUUUCAAAUUCUCUAUUUAAAGUAGGUUGAACUCCAGCUGGUGACUAUUAUGUUCUGAAAUGGUGUUAUUAUCUCCAAGGGAAUACUGCAAGAACACAACUACUUCAGGAAUCUCUCCUCAAGGACAAAGUUCAUACACAUGCUCCCUCCCACCUACACACCCACCCACCUUGUAUAUGUAUAGAUAUCUCCUUUAAUGAAGAAUUGUAAUUAUAGAUCAUAUUUUAGCAUAGCUGAAAGCAAAUAAUUUCUCUUUGGAAAGAUAUGGGCUCAGUUGCAGGAUGUAGGAACAAAUUCAGUGAGAAUAAAGCUGCAGAUUUCUAAAUGUGCAAUAUAUUAAAUAAAUCCACAUGACUAAACUUCCACAUGACUAAAAUCACUUGAUUCAGAGAUGUUUUCAAGAUACAUGAAAAAGAGUGUCAGCUCAUAACGGGAAGAACAAAAUUUUUGAAUCAGAUGUAGUGUAACGCAGUAAGUGAGUAAGCUUGUAAGGUCUUACUGAGCUUGUAAAAGCAAAAUAACAUAUUUGCAUUGUCAGAGAAUUCACUGGAAAAUACGGUCAUGUAAACAGAUAGGGUGCAAAUAUUGCUUUCCUCUGGGAUUAUGACCUGAAGGUUGCUUGGCAUAAUGUCAUAUGAGUAGUUGUGGAAAAUCUUCCAGUUUCAUUUCUGUCAUUUGGAUUUGUCACUGUCUUAGAGGGCACAAAGUUUCAUGGGUGCUUUUUAGAAAUUUUCUGAAAUCCACCAAUAAGAUUUUUUUUGUUAUUGUGUUUUGGCCUCUGGCAUUUAAGGCACUAAGGAAAACUAGUAGGUUUGAUCAGGCACAGGCCACUUGCUGUAUUGUGCAUAGAGUCUAUUGGUCCUGAAAGACCCAGCUGGGCUGCUGUGAAGGGAGGGUAAAAUCUUUUCCUUUCAAGUGUGCUAGGCUGCUGCACUGGGAGUUUUGGGAGACACACCCAGGUCUUGCUAUAUAGUGCCUAGCUCAAGUGGAAAGACCUUUUAUGGAGACAAAGCUCCAGCUCUUUUCCGACAGACCCCUGCCAAUCAGUCACAGCGCAGACUGUUAGUAUAAGCAGCGCUCAAUGGUGUUCAUCUAAUGUAUAGCUCUUCCAGAAGACACUUGCCAUAAUUUACAGCAACCCCAAGGUACCAUUAACUUCUGCUGAAACACAGGAUUCUGCCAAACUGGAAAAACAGAGAUUCUCAGGUCUCUGUAUGCAGUUUGGAGAGCUGUUCCUUAUUGAAUGUUUUGUUUUUCCAGCUCAAAUGAGGGUAAAUCAACAUUUUCAAAUAACACAUGUAUGUGCCAGUUUUAUUAGAAUUUGUCUCUCUUACAUUUUUACAGUGGCCCAUGAAAAUCAAAUCAAGAUAAUAGCAGAAAUAAUUGACCAAAGAAUAGCAGUUUCUUUAAUCAAGCGAACAUGAUGAUUAAAUCAAAAGCUUCAGAUCUGUGGAUAUCAUCAAUGGUCUUUUGACUAUUAAUAACAAUAUGCUAUCAGCGAAUUUUAAAAAUGCAUUUUUGGAGGGUGAAAUGUCUACAUCUAGAUGGAGAAAGGUCAGAACAGUAUUAUUAGUAAUUAAAUCCAUUAGUGGUACUGUUGACAGUUUUUCAAGUGAUUUAGAUUAAAAUAUAUCACUGAAGUACAGCAAUACUUAAACAAGAAAAGAUCCUACAAUUGAAAUGAUCCUACAAUGAAAAAAUCCUAAAAAAGUAUGCUUUCCCUGGAGUCUUUAAUCCUUAAUAAGAUCUAAAUGGUACUUUUUAAUAAUUAAUAUUAAUACUACUACUACAACAGCAACAACAACAACAGUAGAAACCAGAACAACAAAAUAUCACUAAAGAGAGGCUUGCUUUCCUUCAGAAACCUUGGCAGAAAUAUACAACAGCACUGAAGCCUCAGAGACACCAUUGCUUCUUUUUGUUGUGCUGUAGCCACAGGGAGGGUGAGCCUUCAAUUCCUUUUGUGCACAACAAAGCUCUUCAGCACAAGAACACAUUCAGGCCUGUAGGGAUUUACCAGCUUAGGGAAGCAACAGCAAGCAUAUGCUGGCUGUUACCACAGGCUGUGACAGUGUGGAGCUUUCCAGAACCAAGGUGUACUCGUGCACCAAACACCAUCGCUUGCAUAGUGCAGAUAUAUUUGCAUAUAUUAGUCCACUAAUAGUGAAAGACUACCUGUAUAUCCAUAAAGAUGCAUGAGAAGGUAUGAUUCUUCUGUUUCCCGAGCCUGCAGGAAGGGAGAUUACAAUUUCCUAUGGCAAUAUUUAGUGGCAUCAGCUCAGAAAUACUUCCUUUUCUUUUUCCUCUUCUUUCAGCCACUGAGUUACAGUUUCCAAGGGAAAAGUUUUUUAUAGACAGUGAUGUUUUACUGUUUUUUCUGUCCUGUGUAUUGGCCAACAAAUAUCCUAUAAAAAAAUAGAUUUUCUAACUAAUCAUAGCAUCAAAAUGAUCACAAGGAAAACCAAUGAGGUGUUUAUGCACCUCACUUCUUACAGUGUUUUACUACUGAAUGCAGCUAUUAAUUUGGUGUUCCUCAGAUUGUCUUAUUAAAAUAGAUACUGUGAAUUAAUUUAUUAACUCAGUGUACAUUUCAUGACAACUCUGUAGAAAGCUGGGCAUAAAGCUGUUUGGUAUCGUAUAGGCAUAAACUUCUUUUUGAUAGACAGUACACACUCUUCAACACCAGAGACACUUCUAUUGCCCAGCUUUGGAAGGUCAGCAGGGUCAGUAUGAGCAUCUGAACAACAGCCUUCCCUAUGUCAGCUGUGCAAUCACCGAGACUGGAAAACAAAGAUGGUCCAGGCACCGUGGCCUGGGCAUGGUCACCUUCUUGGACAGAAAUAGUUUGGCUACUACCCAUGUAAAUCAUAUGCAGUGGGAUGGAGCUCGAGAGUGAAGAGAUUAUGGCUGGCUGCAGAAGGUCCUGGAAGUUUGUUAACUGAACACAAUCUACCACCCAGGUCUUUGGAGCUCUUACUCACAAAUAGGCAGAGGUGAGCAAUUUUAUGUUAUAAACAAUGCACAAAUAAGGCAUGUAUAAUGUAUUGAAUUAAUAAAUGUCAAAUCUUUGUACUUGCAUUUUUUAUUUUAAGUCCUUUAAACACAACUGCAGUGUUUUAAAAAUUAUUUUUCAAUUAUUUUAGCCCUUUCUAUUAGAAUUUGUCAUUUUCAUUUCAGAAGUGCUCGUGUACUUUCAAACUUUUUUCCUGUUCUGAACACCUUUGUUGUAUCUAUUUCGCUACCUUUUAUAGAAUCAUUUCCUCUAAUAUCAACAGCUUUUAUAUACUAUACUACUUGCUGACUGCAGCUCAUUUGUUGAAAUUUCCAGUAUAUCUUCUAGAAUAUACAGAUAAAUUUAACCUUUUUUUUUUUUUUUUUAAUGUGAAGGGAUGCUAGCUUAUCACAAAUUGUCAUAAAUUCAAAAGUACAAUGUGCUGUAGUGGGAAAGUUGAAAGUAUCCAAUAUGUACUCUUCUUUCAUCUUUGUGAUCAUCUCUAUUUAGUUCUAUUAGCACUUUCUCAGAACAAAAAGUAGUUCAUUUAGAAAUGAUUGGAUCAUUUGUUUUGUCCUCAAUGAAAUGAUAUUCAUUCACCCAUUGAUAGUUCCUUGUUUCCCAUCCAGAGCUACCCAAGAAAUAACUUUUUCUACUUAGAAAACUCCCUGAAACUCUCAGAAUAAUGUGAAAUAAACAAGUGCAAUUAAAUAUUUCUCAAUGCAAAAUAUUACACAUUUUUGUUAUCAGAAUUUUUAAAAAGGGGAAGAAAGGAACAAUUAAGAAAUUGUCAGAUGAUUAAAUUACUACAGCCACUUCCUUGGGAAAAAGAUAUGCUUUUUCAGGUUGUAGCUCUACCCAAGAGUGUCUAAUAUAGACCAAUAAUUUUGACAUAUUUUAUUUUGAGGCAUAUUUUUGCUCUCUUAAUUCAUUUGCCAGAGUUUUAUUUUUUAGAACAGGAAAAUUAACUCUGCAGAUAAAGAAGACUUCUUCCAACCUCUGGAAGAAAAUAGAACAGCUAUUUUUUCAAAUUGAAAAAAAAAUUUAAAAAUUAACUUUUGUAAAAAUUAGAAGGGGGUAGUGUGUCUUGGUAUUCUGUAGGUGAAAGAAUAGCUACAGUUGAAGUUUGCUGAAUUGUGGUUUAGAGAUAGAUCAUUUUCCCUCCAGCUCUCUCUGAUGCUUCUCGGUGAGGAAACCAACUCCCUGUCCAAAGCUGGUUUUCCUAUUCUUUACAAUGUCAUGGUCUAAGUGGUGAUUUCUAUUUUUGGAAAUAUGAAAUAUUUUGUGCAAUGUGAGGACUUCAGGUGCAAUGGAAUUCAGAAUGAAUGGCAUAUUAUUUGACACUCACAGGAAAGAUGUAUAUAGCAAUACCAGCUGGAUUGCUAUUUUGUUCUGUUUUCCCACAUUUUGAACACCUAGAAUUUUUCUGCCUGAGAUUUUUCAGAUGUAGUCAUUCCUAGCCUUUUUGGAGUCUGAAACUAGCUUCAGAAUUCUGUCAUAGCUGUAUCCCCUGCUUAAAACUAUAUUUCUAUUGGAUUAGACUCCUUUGAAAAGCUUUUGUAGUUCUUACUAUUUUCCAGUGGGAAAUAUUGGAAGAUUCAGUUUCUUUGUUAUUCAGCAGUAUUUUUAUUCUUCAGCACCUGGCUUUUAGUUUUCUAUUCCAGCAUUUUCAGACCUUUACUAUAUCUACCCAUGGCUCCCUUGCGGUUUGGCUUUCAUUGAUUUUGACAUAAUUCUGCUUAUUCUGUGAGUAUCUUGGUGUGUAGGCUCACUACUGCUGAGGAUAGGAAAUAUUUCUCAAAAAGAAGGAUGGCAAAAGAUGAGUCUACAUGUACCUGGCCAAUUAAAAGCUGGUCCUAAGACAGCUGUGUAAGGAUUAUACUUCCUACUUUUACUCUGAAAUUGCAUCAGUUUCCCAGAACUUUAAUAAAACUGCUUUGUGCCUUAGUUGUCUGGAGUUUUUUACAAUCCUAUGAGGAGUUUGCCUAAACUUAUGAUGUUCCCAGUAGCUGCUGGAUGUCACAUUUCCCAUUGCCUGCCUAUUUGCAUCUUGCUAGAAGAGCAAUACUGGUGUAUCUCAUCUAAGAGAAAGUCUCUUUAGCAUAGGCACAAUAAGGGAGCAUGGAUGUGACUAUCUGACCCCACAGACACCCCAUGUAUUGGUUUUGCACAGUCUGGCUUUUUGGCAGCAGUGGGGGCCACAGUGGUGGCUUCUGUGAGAAGCUGCCAGAAGCUUCCACCAUGUCCAGGAGAGCCAAUCCCUUAUGGCUCUGACGACGGACACGCCGCUGGCCAAGGCUGGCCAAUCAGAGAUGAUGGCAACACCUCUGUGAUAACACAGGUAAGAAAUCAUAACAAACACUGCACAGGGAAGAGCAGGAGUGAGAAUAUAGAAACAGAACAACAUGCAGACACCAAGGUCAGUGCAGAAGGAGAGGCAAGAGGUGCUCUCAGUGCCAGAGCCGAGAUUCCUCAGCAGGCCAUGGUGAUGAACAUGAUGAAGCAGCUGUGCCCCUGUAGCCCAUGGAGGUCCACGGUGAUGCAGAGAUCAACCUGAAGCCUGUGGAAGAGGAGCUCCAUGCUGGAGUGGGUGGAUGCUUGAGAGGAGGAUGUUGAGAGGAGGAUGUUAUCCCAUAAGAGAUCUGUGGAGAGAAGGACCCUGCUUCCAAGCUGGAUCAGCCAGUCCUUGGAGAGCUGCACUCCAUGGAGGAGUGACCCAUGCUGCGGCAGUUUUGGGAGGAUUAUUCCCCAUGGGAUGGACUCACGAUGCAGCAGUUCACCGGGAGCUGUUGCUCAUGAGAUGGACACAUGCUGGAGAAGUUCAUGGAAGACUGUCUCCUGUGGGAGGGACCCCACAGCGCAGCAGGGGAACGACUCCUCUUCCUGAGCAGGGGGAGAAGCCUUGAGUAAUGAAGUGGCCAUAAACCUCGAGUGAGGAACUGGCCAUAAACCCCAGUCCCUGCCUCCAUGCACUGUUGGGGCAAGAGGUAGAGCUGGGAAGGAGGCGGGGGGAGUGAAGGUGUUUUUUUAAGGGCUUAUUUUGUUUCUAAUUAUCCUGCUAUAAUUUCUUUAGUAAUAAGUUUUUAUCUCUCAGUCAAGCUUGUUUUGCCCUUGACAGUAUUUACUGAGUGAUCUCUCACGGUCCUUACCUCAGCUCGUGAGCCCUUUGCUAAAUUUUGUCUCCUCUGCCCAGCUGCAGAGGGGAGUGGGUAAGUGGCUCUCGUGGGUGCCUGGCAUUUAGCCAGCAUCAACCCACAACACCCCAGUAGGAAUAUUCUCCUGGUGGUAUGUUUUGCAGCAUAAUUUAUGUCAGUUAUGCCUCAUACAGAUGACUGCCUCCAAAUCAGAAAGAGUGAAAUAUUCAAAGGUGGUUUAAACUUUUUAUUUCUCAUAAACAUUAAUCUGCCUGUGGCCUUGGAGUGCUCUGGUUACAUUUUGGCCAGGUAGCAGGGUCUGUAUUCAAGGGAAACAGAGCAAAUCUGUGGAGAACUGGAUACACUUUUGAAACUCUUUUUCACUGUAGAUGAGAUUGUUAUACAGGAAUGAGUAAUUUUUAGCUAAGCGUAUUAGGUCUCCCAAGUGAUUUGCAUGUAUAAUCAAAUGAAAAGGCCUGUGAAAUAUUGAAAUUCUAGAUGAGAAAAGUGAAAUUCUAUUAAGAAAGAAAGAACCUCUGCACUUAUAGCACAUUCAGAGAACAUAUCAGAAUAUAAAUUUAAUGCAAUACAGCAAUGCUCAUCUUACUUUAAAGGUAAUUAUAUAGAAAAAGGGGCAUUUAAAAUGUAUAAGGAGAGGCUUUUUUUGCACUCGUACAGCAUAUAAUUAACAAAGUUCUUUAAACCUAUUCAUAAAAGAAAGUAAUAAAGCACUUGUAAAUAAUGGCAGUCUCAUAUUCUUUACAGUUAAAUAUCAAUAAUCAGAAUGUCUUUUUUAUACCUCGUUGUAAAACUACAUUUUUGACAUAUUAAGUAGAAGCAGGUAUUACUAGUGACAUUUCAAUUUUCUAGAGAUUUAGACAUAUUCAUAUAAAACGGUUACAAAAUGAAGAACUAUAGCUAUAGAAAGCUGGAAUGCUUGCAAAUUAAAUCAAUGCUCUGCCUGCAAAACACAAAGCGAUAACAGAAAAGUGAAGUUGCAGAACAUUUCAUGGCAGAAUUAAAAGGUGUAGGUGUUGAGACCUUAAAAUACUAAACCGUAGGUGCAGAAAAAGAGAACAAGAGAACUAUAAAGGAAAGUACCAAAGCUUGUAGUAUUGUACAGAUCAAUUAAUAAUGAUUUGUUUUGUAGCAAUUUCUGAAUUCUCAGAAGAUAUACCUUUGAAAAACAAAUCCAGAUUUCUCCAAUGCUCAUGUGUUACACAAUGUUUUAGACACAAACACUUCUCAGAAAUAAGGGGACGGGGAAAAUACAGAGAGGUUAAAAACAUAAGAAGAAAAAAUAAUAAUGCAAACCAGAUUAGAUAAUGAGUGAUUGUGGGUUGAUUUUAUUUCUCUUUUGUUCUUCCUCACCUCAGUCUUUAAGAGCCUUUAUUGCAGAACAGAUCGCUGUUCUGGCACAUGCCAUCUUGAACAGCACGAAUGCAGGCUGCUCCCAAUAGAUUAUUCUCUCGUUGACCUUGUAGGGGUGUACAGCUGGCUACAAUAAAAGCCCUAAUGCAGCAAUAAAGACUGGACUAAGUUGAAUAUUACAGGCAUGGAAUAAACUCAGAUGAAAUUAGUUAGGGUAAAAUUUUUCUCCUCUGAUCUGACUGCACUUAAAUUUCAAUGUUUAGGAAUAUCUCAGAUUUUUUCCAUGUUUACUGCUGUCCAUGGCAAGACAGGGUACUUUGCCAGUUUGUAGCAAGAAGUGAGAAAAAAAAAUCAAUACUUUGCAGAAAUUAAGCUCCAGUUGCCAUUGCUGCAUUUCAGACACUGCACCUUUAGAAUCACAGUUUAUGUUGCACCUCGCCUUGGAUAUUCAGGCUUGUUAGUUUUCCACAAAGUAAGUUGAAUAUCUAAAUUCUUAUUAAAAUGUCGUGGUUUAAUUCCAGGUGUCAACCAAGCCCUAGGGAACUCUUGCUCACCCCAACACCAGUGGAAUGGGGGAGGGAAUAGGAAAAGUGAGAAAACUUGUGGGUUGAGAUAAAGAUGGUUUUACAGGUAAAGUAAAAGCUGUACAUGCGAGCGAAACAAAAUGAGGAAGUAAGUCACUGCUUUGCAAAUGCAGACAGGUGUUCAGCCAUCCCCAGGAAAGCAGGGCUUUCUCAUGUGUAACUGUUAUCUGGGAACUGAAUGUCUCCCCCUUUCUUCUUCUCCCCUCAGCUUUGUAUGCUCAGCAUGAUGUCCUAUGGCAUGGGCUCUCCCUGUGGCCAGCUGGAGUCAGCUGUGGCCAGUCAGUCUGGCUGUGCCUCCUCUCAAUGUCUUGAGCACCCCCAGCCUGCUUACUGGCAGGGUGGAAUGAGAAGUAGAAAAGGCCUUGGCUCUGCGUAAGUGCCCCUCAGCUGUAGCAAAAACAUCUCUAUAUUAUCAACCCCGUGUUCAGCAUAAAUCCAAAAAUCCCCACAGCAGUGCACCAGCCACUGAGAUGAAAAUGAUCUGUGUUCCAUUCAAAACCAGGACUUAGAAUGAUUAAAAAUAUUUUAAAACAUAAUCGCGAUUUUAUAUUAAAAAUAUAAAUGUUUUGCCUGCAUGAACUAGAUAUUCAGUGUCAAAGAAUAUAUUACCAUAUUUUCCAAAGGCAUUGUUUUCUGUUAAAAAGACUACAAUUUCUUCCUCAUAUUUUUAGCUAAAAGAUAAUUAUAUCUGAACAGUCUUCAAUAUUUAAGACACUGUAUAUAUAGAAACAAGAUAUUGAACAGAUAGAUAAAUCUAGAUCUACAUAUAAAUCUAGCUAUCUCUCUGUACCUAUAUACAUACACACAUGUGUAUUAAUACUUUUCAGGGUAUAUUAAAACAAAGUAAUUCAAAUAAGUAAACAAAAAUGUUGCUAUCCAGAUUUAUUUUAUGACAAAAUAAGCUCUGGUUCUAAUAUGAGUGUUAACAAGCACUUUUGAAAGGCAAAAGACAAAUUCCCUUCACUCUUCCAAAUUUUCAGAGGUGGACCAGAGAUAGGUUAGAUCAGAAUCUGUCUUCCAGAUACUCCUGUCUGUCUUUCUUGACCAUGGAGGAAGACUAGAGUAAGUGUAGCAGCUAUGUCCAAAUUGUGGGUGGGCACUAUGAGAUGCCCCAAGGUCUUGGUUUUAUACAGACUAGUGGCCUGGCUGGAUGUCACUGUGUUUCCCUGCUGCAUGCUCACUUUUCCUUGCCAGGCAAAUCCAGGGGCGAGGCAAAUGUUGGUGAAACCUUGGGGGCCUCCCUGCAACACACAAUGUUGGUGCGACCAUGCCCGACAGUCUAGACAUUUCCCAAAUUACUCUGAGGAUCUCCACACAGAGACUUAAAAUUAGAUGGAAUCAAUCCAUCUAUAGUCUUUAAUCUUUAGUCUUUUAAUACAGAAAUUAAAGUAAUAUUUGCUCUUAUGCUGAGUUUGUAUGGGGUUCUUAGUGUUCUUUCCUGUAUGAACCUCAAGAUGAUUUUCCUUAUUGAAGAUAUCCAUCCUAAGAUGAGAGAUAUAACUGUCCGCUGCCUGUAUGUGGUUCAAACUCACAAUAUUGCUCCUUCAGAUCACCCAGUGUGCCAUUGCCUAUGCUGAGAAGGGCGGAAAAUAAGCGGUAAGUCAGUAACUGUGGACUGGCAAGAAGUUUAAAGAUACAUUUUACUGAGGUUUUGGAACUUAAACUUCUGGAUCAAUGUGGAAUCAGCACUAGCAAAUCCUUCCCUGUGGCAAAAUCUGCUGGUACAUCUGAUUCCUCUUUUUUCUUCAUUUUCUCGCUAGAAUGAAGAAAACUGAAACAAAUGAACAAAUUUAAUUUUGAUGCCAAAGUAGCAUCCCUGCAAUGUGGGGAGGAUCAGAAAAAGCAGAAAUCUGGGCUAUAGUGAAGAGAUUCAGUCUUCUCUAACACUCAGCUUGAUCAGACUUUUGAGCUGAGCUUCCCCUGUACUUGCUAAUGAUGAAAAACUAAGUCAAUAGAAGCCAUCUGACUGAAGUGUAACUGCUACAUGAAUACAAAAAACCAUGGAAAGGGAAGUCUUUCAACAUAAAAGUAAAAGCAUACCUGUGUGGUGAAGUUGUUCUUAUUUUUUUGUCACGUUUUUUUUAUACAGCUAUGAAACAUAUUUGGAAUUGCAGCAAUAAUCAGUGAUUACUCAACAAAGGCGCAUACCUAUCUCAAAGACAUCACUACUACUCUAUCAAUUCAAGCAUGAUUGUUAGAGAUGGGAUUAUUGAACUGGGCACCUGGAAGCUUACCAAAUUCAGGCUAUUUUGAGCUCUGAGUGGGUGGGAGAUAGCAAAUGAAGAUUGGAUUAUCACGCUUGAUGGAUUAUUGUGAUGAAGGCAGAAUGGUAUUAAACUGACAUCCUGCCCCUACUGCCAGAAUGUCUUGUUAUGGCUUCAAAGGCUGGAUUCACACAGCAGAAGGCACUGUCUGCUUUACUCACUUGCACACUAGUAAGGGCUCUUAUACAGCCUGUGGGAAACCUGGGCUCAAAUUCCUCUUCUGCUGUUGGAAGAAAUGCCUCCCAUACUGAUGGAAAGAUCCAGGGGCGAUUGCAAAAACAAUAUAUCUGAUCUAUUGAGAUCAGAAACCCGAUUUGAACAUGAGGGCUGCAACUUCAUUUGUAACCAAAGCAUGUUAUUUGCAGAGCAGAGCUUCUUUACACUUCUUUCUGCCAGCUUCCAGAUGAUCAUGAGCCACAGAACAGUCACCCAGAAACCUGUCACCACUGGAAUGGUGCACCAGAAUGGAGAAUAUGGUGUUGGACUGCAAACCCUCUACAACAGGCUGCGGAAGAGGCUGAGUCAGCCCCUUGCUCAAAAGGCCAUAAUAGCAUUCAGUUGCUGAUCUGCUUGCCAUGUGUGAUAGCACAUUGCUGCUAAAAUGGCAUAUUGGCCCUAAUCCUGAAAAUCUUUCAGACAUGUAUGCAUUCAGUGAGAUAAAGAACUAUAGAGAGAAGCCUAUGUUUUCUAUAAGAACGUCAUAUUGGUAUAAAAAGGAUAGGUGCAGUGAUCUCAAAUUAUUUUGUGGUACAAAAGUAUGAGCAAGAAUAUAUAAUGUACAUAGAUAUGAUUUAUGCACACACUCACACACACAUACAUAUAUAUAUAUAUAUAUACACACAUAUAUGUAUAUUACAUCUCUGUAACUGAAUGGUAUUACCAUGGGGAUGAUGAGACCCACAAAUAGCAUAGUUAACAAAUUUAACUUGCUAUUUUUGUGUCUUUCAUUUUUGAACUGCCAGGGAGUAGAUUGCUAUAUCCUCAAAUUUGUCUUUGAAAAUCUUCUCAAAAUAACUUCCCUGUGAAACUCAUUUGACAGGGUUACUUACAUGAUCACCUCUUUAUCAAUCCACUGAGAAUGAGAGUUAGUUCUAGACUUUAAACUAGCAAGGCUAGUUCUUUAGCUUAGUCUGUAGCAGUUUAUGCUCUCAACUCUUGAAAUUAUUUAGCACUGAGGACACUGUGCAAAACUCUUAGAACUGUAAGAAUUUUUAUUCUGCAUCCGAAUGAAAGUGUGACAUUAAAUUUCAGACAAUAUAUACUUCACACUGCUUAGUAUACAGCAGCACAUAUGGAGAAAGAUUGGGAACUUGAGACUCCUUGCAGCUCCAUGAGCACACUAACCAUACUGUACUGCUCUUGCAGUCUUUGGUGUCAGUGUGAAUCAGCAAUGCCAGUGAUAGACUUAUACAACUACAAUGUCUGAGCUACAUCAAUAUAAAUGAAUUGCAUAUAGGCAUGUCUGUCUGCUGUGCACAUAUCUAUAUUUUAUAUAUAGCUACAUUUGUAGAUUUAUCAGUGAAAAUAAUUUCAUGUUACCAGUUUAAUAGUGUUUUCCUUCAAUGAAUCCAAUGCAUAAAUACGAAUGGUGUGUUGCAUGGUAUAUCUGGCUGUCAAAACUGUUCAAUGAAAAAGAGGGAAUAUUGAAAGUAGAAACUGACUUGAGAAAUCAUGUUUUUUUUUAGCUCAUUAAUGCCUUAAUACCAGCUGAUGCAGUAUGUACUUUGCAGGCCAUGUUUUCUUUUUUGCAGUUCUGUGGUUUUACAGCUGGUACAUUCCAGGCUGUCUGCCUUCCCAGGCUAAGUCAAGUUUGUCCAUCUUGUGACACCUUGGUGUAUGUACAACACAAUACUUGUUCUCUGGGGAAUUUAACAAAGCUGUUUCUAAGAUAGUAGGUGCUCCUGGUGCUCAGGAGUUAGUAAUUUCAAAUAUGGCCGGUUUAGUUACCAAGAAAAUAUGGUGGGAUGUUGUGAGUAAAUUUUUUUUCCACCAGGCAAACUCUUCAAUGCUUUAUCAAAGCAUCCAGAUCCUUGUGUGUUGCUCUGUUUUAGAAUUUCUUCAAAGACAGACAACCUUUAUUCUACUGACCGAUGUACAAUAUAUAUAGCUAUUGUGCAGAAAAAGAACAGCUCUGGCGAGUCACUAAGUAGGUGUUUGUGCAGGUCAAUAGUAGGCUGGUACCUCAUGAGGAGUGGAAAACCUAUCAGCUUACCAAUGGAGCUGUCAGUUCAGAUAAACAGCUGCCAUUUUUCCCACUUUCCAUCAGGUGGAGGUUUAACAAUGUUUAUUGAAGAUGCCAAAGGUUUGAGAAUACUAAAAGUUUUAAUUCUUUUCCACCAACUAAUAGUGUGGCUUAUGGUGCUGAAGACAAACUUGGAAUCAUGUGCCCUCACCCAGCUGACCUUGUCUGCAUCACUGUUGUUUUAAAUCAAUUGGUUCUGCACCCCCUCUUCUAUCAGAAACUAUAUUUCCUGAAGUAAACCUGGGUUUAGGCCACCCUCUGUAGCAGAAGGGCUGUAAGGGGGAGUAGUGUAAUUACUACAAGCCUCUGUUUUGUCCUGUCACAGUUACAUCCACUGGCAGGAACCUGCGACUUCUGAACUCACAAACUAUGAAGAAACCUGAGAUGACAAAAUCAGCAAAGGCUACACCUUAAAGUGCAGUCAUGUGGUCCAUCAAAACAUGCUUCAAUCCAAUUGAAGUGGCAUUAUUGUGUUACCCUUAUCCUAAAGUAGCUACCUAACAUUCAGGUUGUAACUCUACUUGUUCCAGGCCUUGCUGAUCCAUUUGCAAAAUCAUAGCCACAAAGUGAUUAAUUGUUGCUAAUAAUUCUAAUCUUAGCUACUUAUUUUUGUGCUUUAAAAUAAAAAAAAGCAAAGCUUUUUUCCCUAAGCAGAUAUUUUUAUUAAAUAAAAUUUAGUUUGAAAACUAAAACAGAUGUUGCUUGAUCAAAGUUACAAUCAUCUUUUCUAAUUGACUGUAAUGUGCAUCCCCUUUUCUCUAAUAUAGAAAAGAUAUACACAAAGUUCUGCUCCUGAGGAAGAACAGGCAAAGGAAACCUUUUGACCACACAAGCUGGUGGUUUUCAUAGGUCACUGUUUUAUAACUGAGUAUAUGUUGGCUGCACAUACAUGAAACUAAAGAUCUUGCACUUCCUUGGAGUGGAAAAGAAAAACACAUUCAUAAAAUUAAAACACGGGUAAAAAUAAAUAAAAAACCCA